Molecule: ribosomal RNA, 468 nt
Filed under: uncultured bacterium
Lineage: Bacteria
Description: partial 16S ribosomal RNA
Rfam family: Bacterial small subunit ribosomal RNA
Source: RNAcentral
GACGAACGCUGGCGGCGUGCUUAACACAUGCAAGUCGAACGGAAAGGCCCUGCUUUUGUGGGGUGCUCGAGUGGCGAACGGGUGAGUAACACGUGAGUAACCUGCCCUUGACUUUGGGAUAACUUCAGGAAACUGGGGCUAAUACCGGAUAGGAGCUCCUGCUGCAUGAUGGGGGUUGGAAAGUUUCGGCGGCUGGGGAUGGACUCGCGGCUUAUCAGCUUGUUGGUGGGGUAGUGGCUUACCAAGGCUUUGACGGGUAGCCGGCCUGAGAGGGUGACCGGCCACAUUGGGACUGAGAUACGGCCCAGACUCCUACGGGAGGCAGCAGUGGGGAAUAUUGCACAAUGGGCGGAAGCCUGAUGCAGCAACGCCGCGUGCGGGAUGACGGCCUUCGGGUUGUAAACCGCUUUCGCCUGUGACGAAGCGUGAGUGACGGUAAUGGGUAAAGAAGCACCGGCUAACUACGUG